Odocoileus virginianus texanus is the source of this 363-nucleotide non-coding RNA. Lineage: Eukaryota; Metazoa; Chordata; Mammalia; Artiodactyla; Cervidae. The record is from RefSeq and is a predicted model, not a curated record.
UAAAGAUUAUGGAAACAGACUUGCCAUUUCUUAUUCCCCAGUGGCCCCAGUAAUUCUUUGAAGAAACACUUUCUAUAUUACAGGGGAUCUUCCCAACCCAGGAAUCAAACCCGGGUCUCCUACAUCGGCAGGUGGAUUCUUUAACAUGUGAGCCACCAAGGUAACACCUUUUGAGACACCUGCAACUGGAACUGCGUGAAAAAAGUGCCAGCUCCUCACACUGUGUCAACAGCCACCGGAGGGCCUACCACUUUACAACGCGAGUGUAUUACUAUUUAAAGACAAGCUUUUAGCCGAACAUCAGUGCUGCCUUCAGAGUUUAAUUACCGCCCUCCCCAUGGGGCCCAAUGAGCCAGCGACUCC